CAGUCGCCACGGUAAAACGAAGGGGGCUAGCGUUGCUCGGAAUCACUGGGCGUAAAGGGUGCGUAGGCGGGUCUUUAAGUCAGGGGUGAAAUCCUGGAGCUCAACUCCAGAACUGCCUUUGAUACUGAAGAUCUUGAGUUCGGGAGAGGUGAGUGGAACUGCGAGUGUAGAGGUGAAAUUCGUAGAUAUUCGCAAGAACACCAGUGGCGAAGGCGGCUCACUGGCCCGAUACUGACGCUGAGGCACGAAAGCGUGGGGAGCAAACAGGAUUAGAUACCCGCGUAGUCCCUGUCUCUUAUAC
RNAcentral lists this ribosomal RNA (301 nucleotides) under uncultured bacterium. RNAcentral's name for it is "partial 16S ribosomal RNA". It matches the Rfam family "Bacterial small subunit ribosomal RNA", at positions 509 to 807 of the family's 1533-position model. The record is from RNAcentral.